Molecule: ribosomal RNA, 253 nt
Filed under: uncultured bacterium
Lineage: Bacteria
Description: partial 16S ribosomal RNA
Rfam family: Bacterial small subunit ribosomal RNA
Source: RNAcentral
UACGGGGGGGGCAAGCGUUGUUCGGAAUUACUGGGCGUAAAGGGCUCGUAGGCGGCCAACUAAGUCAGACGUGAAAUCCCUCGGCUUAACCGGGGAACUGCGUCCGAUACUGGAUGGCUUGGAUUUGGGAGAGGGAUGCGGAAUUCCAGGUGUAGCGGUGAAAUGCGUAGAUAUCUGGAGGAACACCGGUGGCGAAGGCGGCAUCCUGGACCAAUAUUGACGCUGAGGAGCGAAAGCCAGGGGAGCAAACGGG